RNAcentral lists this ribosomal RNA (433 nucleotides) under uncultured bacterium. RNAcentral describes it as "partial 16S ribosomal RNA". It matches the Rfam family "Bacterial small subunit ribosomal RNA", at positions 29 to 505 of the family's 1533-position model. The record is from RNAcentral.
AACGAACGCUGGCGGCAGGCUUAACACAUGCAAGUCGAACGCGUGCAGCAAUGCACGAGUGGCGCACGGGUGAGUAACGCGUGGAUAUCUGCCUUUUGGUUCGGAAUAACCCCGGGAAACUGGGGCUAAUACCGGAUGGUUCCUACGGGAUAAAGAUUUAUCGCCAAAAGAUGAGUCCGCGUCCGAUUAGCUAGUUGGUGAGGUAAUGGCUCACCAAGGCGACGAUCGGUAGCUGGUCUGAGAGGACGAUCAGCCACACUGGGACUGAGACACGGCCCAGACUCCUACGGGAGGCAGCAGUGGGGAAUAUUGGACAAUGGGGGCAACCCUGAUCCAGCCAUGCCGCGUGAGUGAUGAAGGCCUUCGGGUUGUAAAGCUCUUUUGGCGGGGACGAUGAUGACGGUACCCGCAGAAUAGGCCCCGGCUAACUUCG